ACNGAGGUAGCAAAGCCUGGAAAAUGCCAAAGGCCUAAGCCCUUUUAUCAGAGGUUCAAUUCCUCUCCUCGGCU
This 74-nucleotide transfer RNA is filed under the name Prototroctes oxyrhynchus (New Zealand grayling). Its description in RNAcentral is "tRNA-Leu". It matches the Rfam family "tRNA". Rfam says of the family: Transfer RNA (tRNA) molecules are approximately 80 nucleotides in length. Lineage: Eukaryota; Metazoa; Chordata; Actinopteri; Osmeriformes; Retropinnidae. The record is from RNAcentral.